CAGAGAACAUCGCCCUCACGGGUGACUCUCCAACCCUAUGUUAUUAAAACCUUUGUUGCUUUGGCGAGACGCUUCGGCCGUCGGCUUCUGCUGACGAGUGCUCGCCAGAGGACCACAAAACUCUUGAAUUAUACGUCGUCUGAGUACUAUAUAAUAGUUA
Molecule: unclassified non-coding RNA, 160 nt
Filed under: uncultured Cistella
Lineage: Eukaryota; Fungi; Ascomycota; Leotiomycetes; Helotiales; Hyaloscyphaceae
Description: sequence contains ITS1
Source: RNAcentral